GGGAAAAUAGUUUCACGUUUGAGAUUUGGAAAGGAAAUCUAUUCGACGUCAACACUAUCGUAUCAUUUCGAACUAAGGUUGGAUCCCUACACGGAGUUGUCGUUAUAUGAAUUUAAUUUUCAAUUAAGCAUGAUAUUCGUUAUAAUUUCAUGAAGUAUAUGAAGUGCCUUUAGAGUUUUUUUUUUUUCUCUUAAAUUUUUUGAAAGAAAGGUUUAUAUAUAUUUAAACUGAUGGUCACAGAGGCUGAUUAGAACCUUAAGUAUAUAUGUUGAACUGAUGGUCGCAGAGGCUCAUCAGAAACUUAAGUAGAUCGUUUGAUCAUCGAUUUACUUAUUUAUGAAGGCAACAUGUAUGAAUGAAUGAUUAAAUAUACGAAUAUUAAGUUCAUGUAGCACGUGUAGUUUGCUGAGUAUUUCUUUGAGAUGUUCACUCCUAUUUAACCCCUUUCCAUAGUAAUCGGAGGUCCGACGGCAGUUUGGCAUGAAUGGCAUGUUUUAUUUUUAAAGAAAUUUAUUUUAUGUUUUAGAUUUUGCACUUUUAUGUUUAAUAUUUGUUGGUGUCCUGGAUAUUGUAGUUCGAAUCCAUGUUUUGAGACACAGUUUUUUUUUUUUUUUAAUGUUCGUUUGUACUUCCAGUUUCUGCCUCUAAGUUUAAAAAUUCACCCAGACUUAAAUACUUGGAAUUUUGAGGUGAUUCUAAUGAAAAGAUAGCCUUAUGAGUUAUCUAUCCCUCAAAUUUGGAAUCAUGAAUUUUGGAUCUAUAAAACUCAAGUUAUGAAUAUUUUCCCAAGAGCGGUCGAUUGUAAACGGGAACAGAUUGCUCCAGUUUAGAAAGAAUUUUGACCAAUCUAUUGAUUGAAUUUAUCUAUGAAAUUCCGGUAGUUCCCCAAUGUGUAUGAUGUCUACACUUUUAAUUUUUUUUUAAAUUUGGACUUCAUUUAUGGGUCGAACGAGAUUUAUUUUAGAAAGUCGUAUAAGCUGAAGUCAAAACUUUUCGAACAACAAUUUUCUUGAAAUUUUGAAACAAGUUUCUCCGGAGUCCUAAUGUUUUUAAUACAAAUUAAGCUGCCACAUUUUAUGAACUACUUAAGUAGAAUUUUAUAAAUUUAAGGUCUUUGUAAUGUCACGAGUUCCGGGAGCUCAAGGCGUUAUACAUUCACAUUUCGACUCGUUUUGCUAGUGUUAUUUCUAUUUGAUAUUUAAUAUAAUUGACCUAAUUCAUUAGUCAUUAUCCACAUAAUCUAGAAGGAUAACUAAUUGGUUAUGAUACAGUCCUAAUUAUAAUCAAACUAACCUAAGUUCACCUAUAAAUACCAAAUCCAUGCACAUAUGUUUGCCACAAAACCACCCACUCUUUAACUUUUGUUUCAUUCUUUAAAAUUUGAGGAGAAAUCGUUAUUAAGUUUAGAAGAUUUUCGAAAGAGUUUCAAUUUUAUUGUUCAUUUUGGCCAAUUCAAGAGUUGUUCCACAGCUUUUGAAAUAUGUUGUUAUAUAUGAAUUUAAUUACUUUAGAGCUCCAUCGAGAGAAAUCAUGAUACAUUUUAAGGCAUCUCUACGAGUAUGAGCUAGCCUUCACGUUAUUUUGCAACUCUUGCCAAAUUAUCGUUUUUCAUGGUAUGAUAAUUCUAAUUUUAUUUUGGUAAGAAAGUUUAUGCAUAAUAUAAUGACUGAUAUGAAUGUGGAGUCGCAAGCAUCUCAUUGAGUAAAAUUCAUUAAACUCAUUGCUUUUUAUUUACAAAUUUCAAGUAAAAGUUAGCCUAGUGGACAACAGUGGAUGGAUGGGUAUGCCAGUAGACCAACGGAUUUUUGUCACAUAGUACAUUAUUUGUUGAAUUGGAUUAGUUUUGGAGUAACAUUAUAAUUUUUAAUUAGUCCUAUAUUGCAUGUUAGAACUAGUUUUUAUUAAUAUUUUUAUAAAAGAUAUGAUUCCAAAACAUUCCGUGUAUUUUAUUAAAUUAAAUUUAUCUUUUAUUAAAAGUUGUUCAAAUUUUAUUGAAUAUGUCACUAUAUUAAAAUUUAUUUUAAGCAUGUUAAGAAAUCCAUAUUUGAUAACUCAUAGGGUUGCUAAACUUUGGAGUGUUACAAUUUGAUAUCAGAGCAAACGAAUACUUUUUUUGUAGAUUUUUCAAAUUUUAAUUUUAAAAAAAAACUCUAUUUUGUCCUUUACUGAGAACUCAUUGUAUGAGUUUUCUUGAUUUGCGUUUUUUUAAAAUUAAAAGGCCUUGUUAAAAAGACCUAAACUAUCUAAUGAGAGGUUAAAAUUUAAGUGGUCCACUUGUGACCCUCCUCACCUGAUGCUAUUUUAAUGGUUCAUUAUUCAAAUCAAUAAGAUGAAAGGCAAUAUUUCAAACCCACUUCAAUUUCAAGAAAAUCCCUAUUUUUAGAAACUUUUAUACCAAACUAAAAUCUAUUACACAAAAUUUCUAUAUAUAAUAAAAAUAAGUUACAAGAUUCAUGGAAUCUAAUGCUCAUCAAUCUGUCACUGUCCAAUAUUUUUAAGGUAUGAAAAGAUGGAGAAUAUUUUUAUUUAUUGAUAUUAUCAUUCAUAUUUCCGUUCAUGCUAAUUAAUUGUAUUCUCAUAUGAUUUUUUUCUUACACAUCAUUUUAAUUCAAAAGUAUCUUAAGUAAGCAUAUUAGUAUUUUGUGCAGGUUUGUAAGAUUAGUAAUAUGAUUCUCAUAUGACUAAAAUUUUAAUGCAUAACACUUUGGACUUAGCAUAAUAUAUACGAAAGAUAUGGGUAAAUAUAGAGAAACCUCUAGGAGGAGUGUAGUAUAGUUGAAUAGUUCUUAAGAUAAGUUAUUUGAAGGAAAUGACAUGAUGACAGCAAGUUCAAGUUGCUAUGUUUAGAGAUUUACUGAGGAGGGUGCAAGACUUGGGCAAGCAACGGGCUUAAGUGGUACCUCAUAAUGCAACAGAAAAUGCCACUACUAUGAGCUCGAUUGUUGAGUAGUUUUAUCAUUUUAAACCCCCAUCAUUUGAUGGUAAAGGUGAUCCUUUCACAGCCAAUAAAUGGAUGAAAAGAAUGGAAGGGAUCACCAAGCACAAGAAUUGCAAAGACACUUAAAAGGUUUUUGUGCAAAGUACAUGAUGACUAAUGAUACUGGACAUUGAUAAGAGUCAAAAACAGGUACUAGAACUGUUGAACAACAAUGUAAUCUCACUUGGAACUAGUUCAACGAGUCAUUGAUUGGUAAAUAAUUUCCCAACCAUUGGAGAAUCAAAAGGAAGUAGAAUUUCUUCAGUUCAAGCAAGAAAUUUGCCACUUGGAGAGUAUGAAAGAAAUUUAAACGGCUUUCUAGAUAUGAUUAGCAUAUUGUAAACACUGAACUAACGAAGGCUAAAAGGUUUGAAAUUCGAUUAAGAUUAGAGAUUAAGGGAAUCAUGGCAGCCUAGCUAUAUAAUAUUUAUGCGAAACUCAUACGUCGAGCACAAGGAAUCUCAAAUGGUUUAGGAUUAUAAAAGAAAACCCAACCCAGCAUCGAGUUUUCUAUAAAGAAAAAGUAGCAAGGUUACAACAAAGAUAAAGGCAUAGAUCAAAAUAAGAAAGGAAAUGUUAGUUUAGACUCAAACAAAACUUUUCCUCAAUGCCCAAAGUGUAACAAGCAACACUAAAGUGAGUGUCUUCAAGGGAAAAAAAGGGUAGGGUCAUUUCCUUAGAGAAUGUCCAGAGAAAAAGGGAGAAGAUGAACAACUUAAGAAAGGAAAGGGCAGAGUGUUUGCUUUGACACGAGAAGAGGAGGAUCAGAAAUAGAAGUAAUAACAGGUAUGUUACCAGUGUCUGAAAUACUGCUAUUGUCCUUAUGGAUUCUGGAUUCACAUAUUCAUUUAUUUCUACAAUUGAGUAAGAUUGGGAAUAAAUGCGUAAAAAUGAAUAACAUCUUAGAUGUUAGUACAUCUUCAGGAGAAGUCAUUAAUAUCAAUCAAAUGGUUAGAGAAGUUUCAUUAAAGAUAGAAAGAAAAGUACUAAUGGUAGAUUUGUACCUCUUAAUAAUAAAAGACUUUGAUGUAAUUUUUGGUAUGGAUUGGCUAGGUAGAAAUUUUGCAACUAUCCUAUGCCAUCAAAAUGAGAUUCUGUUUCAAAAAUCUAGGGACAAAGAUUUCGAUUCUUUUGAACAAGAAUUGGAGCUCUACCCGAUUAGUGUCUACAAUGAAAGUGGAAAAAUGUUGAAAAAAAUACAUGUCAUGGAUUUUUACUGAAUAUUACUAGUAAACCUCAAUCCGAACAAAAAGUGGAAGAUCUAUCGGUGGUUAAGGAGUUUGUGAAUGUUUUUUUCUAAAGAUUUACAUGGUAUACCGCUAGAUAAAUAAGUAGAGUUUACAAUUGACUUAACCCCUAGGACAGUACCAAUAUUUAAGGCCCGUUACAAAAUGGCACCAAAAAAUUAUAGGAGUUAAAGAUACAACUACAACAACUAUUGGAUAAGGGUUUCAUCUAACCUAAUGUAUCCCUAUGGAGAGCGUCAGUAUUGUUUGUUAAAAAGAAAGAUAGAUCAAUGAGAAUGUGUAUUGAUCAAAGGGAUAUUAAUCAUUUGACCAUAAAGAAUAAAUACCCACUCCUAAGGAUAGAGGAUCUCUUUGAUCAAUUGGAGGAUGCAAAGGUGUUCUCAAAAUUAGAGUUGAAGUUAGUUUCUCACCAAUUCAAGAUAAAAGAUUGUGAUAUCCUUAAAACAAGCUUCAAAACAUGGUACGGGCACUAUGAGUUCAUGAUGAUGCCAUUUGGGUUUACCAAUGUACCUGUUGUGUUUAUAGAUUAAAUGAAUCGAGUUUUACAUCCAUAUCUAGAUCAAUUCGUUAUAGUCUUCAUCGAUGAUAUAUUGAUAUACUCAAAGGAUAAGCAGUAAUAUGAAGAGCAGUCAAAGCAUCUCCAAGAAACUCUUUAUUUUUAAAGAACAUAUUUUAAAAUUUAGAAAACAUUUAUAAAUUUAGAGAGUGAAAAUUUUGUACUCGACGGCCUUUUCUAUUUAACACUUAAUUUUACUAUCCCCAAACAAUAUUUAUUAUUUUUAUCUAUCUUUUAUUUUAACUAACUUUUCACUAGAUUAUUAUAUUAUUUUUCUACAUUCAAAAUUGACGUACUUUGAAUGCUUUCAAUUAUAGCAAGUGUGUUUGCCUCUCCAAAUUUAGAGAGCAAAACACACUCUCUAAAUUAAAAUAUUAAUUUAAAGAGCAUCUUAAAGCAUAAUUUUAAGGGUUGCCUCUUUAAAAUAGAAAGCAUCUCAUGUUUAAAUAGUCUUUUAGAAAUUCUCUUAAAAGUGUUAUUGAACACUCUUCGAAUUGAAAAGUUGUACACCAAAUUAAAAAAAAAAAAGUGAAUUUUUGCAAGAUCGCAUCGAUUUCCUUCAUCAUGUGGUACUGCACAAGGAAUUGAAGUAGACCCAGCUAAAGUCGACAUAUUGGUCUAGACCUAAUGUAGGUGAAGUUCGUAGUUUCUUAGGUCUGGCCAGCUAUUAUCAAAGAUUUAUUGAAAGAUUUUCUAAGAUAGCUGGUCCACUUACACAAUUGACUAGAAAUGGAGUAAAGGUCCAAUGGCUAGAUAAGUUUAAAGGUAGUUUUCAAGACCUGAAACAAAGAUUAGUUUCAAUGCCAGUGUUAAUAAUAUCAUAAGGUUUAGAAGGAUUUGUUAUAUACAAUGAUGCUUUUAAACAAGGUUUGGGACGUGUACUAAUACAACAUGGAAAUAUUAUUUCCUACAUCUCUAAACAGUUAAAACUAUAUCAAUAGAAUUAUCCAACGCAUGACUUAUAACUAACAGCUAUAGUUCACGCCUUAAAAAUAUGGCGUCACUAUCUCUAUGGGGGUAAUGUGAGAUAUACAUCUCAAAUACUUCUUUACUCAUAAGGAGUAAAAUAUGAGACAAAGGAGAUGGCUGGAAUUGGUCAAAGACUAUGACUGCACCAUUUUUUUACCACCCAAGUAAAGCCCAUGUAGUUGCUAAUGCUUUUAGUAGAAAAACAGUUGGAAAGUUGAGAGUUCCAACUACUCAAGAACAAUUAGUUAAGGAAUUUGAAAAUUUGAUGCUAAAGGUUAUUGUAUCUUCAAUACGGAACUUAGCCAUUGUUGCAGCUCUAAUGAUUUAACCCAUUCUUAGAGAACAGAUUAGAAAAGCCAAAAAAAAAAAAAAAAUGACCCAUUUUUGUAUAAAAUCAUGGCUAGAGUUCGUACAGAUAAGCAAAAAUGAUUUCCCAUAACUGAUGAUAAAGCACAUAUGUAUAAAGGCAGAUUAUGUGUUCUUAAAGAUGAUGGAGUAAGGAAAGAAAUUCUCAAAGAAGCACACCACAUCCCUUAUGCUGGACAUCUAGGCAGUACAAAGUAUAUCGAGAUUUUCGAGAUACAUUUUGAUGGAGAAAUAUGAAAAGUGGAAUAUGACUCUUUUUAAGUAAAUGUAUGGUCUAGCAGCAAGUGAAAGGGAAACAUCAGAGACAUUUGAGGUUGCUUAGGCUAGUGGAUAUACUGGACUAGAAAUGGGAACGCAUUACCAUAGAUUUCGUGGUAGGAUUUUUGAGAUCAACUAAAGGAAACAAGCUAUAUGGCUAAUAGCGGAUUAUCUUACAACGUCGGUCUACUUUCUUCCAAUUAAGAUGACAUUCACCAAGGAAUAAUAUGCACAGUUUAUGCCAAAGUAAUAGUCAGGUUACGUGGGGUUCCUGUUUAUAUUAUUUCACUUAAAGAAUCAAAAUUCAUGUCAAAAUUCUAUAUAAAAGUCUACAAAAUGCUAUGAGAACAAAAGUAAAACUUAUUACCUUAUAUUACCCUCAAAUUUAUGGAUCAUUCGAAAGGAUGAUUGAGAUAGUUGACGAUAUGAUAAAAGCCUACGUACUAGAUCUCAACAGCAGCUAGGAAACACACUUGUGCUUAGUAAAAUUUGCUUAUAACAAUAGUUUUCAAGCAAUUAAAGGUAUGGCACCUUAUGAGGCACUAUAUGGUAGGAAGUGUAGAUUACCUAUCUACUGGGAUGAGGUUGGAGAAAGAAGGAUCCUAGGACCCUAAAUCAUUGAUCGAACAGUUCGUGCUAUGAAUAAGGUUUGGAAUAGAAUGAAGGCUACUCAGAAUAUGCAGAAAAGUUAUGCUGAUAGAAGGAGAAAAUAUCUUGAGUUUCAAAUUGGUGACAAAGUAUUUCUGAAAGUAGCCCCCACAAUGGGAGUACAUAGAUUUGAAAAUAAACGAAAAAUAAGUGGAUCAUUUGAUAUAUUAGAAAGAAUAGAAGAUAUGGCUUAAAGACAAGCCAAAACUUUCAACAGUACAUAAUGAUUGUCAUAUAUCAAUGUUGCAAAAAUACUUACAAAAUUCUAGUCAUGUGGUCAAAAAUUCUAGAAACAAAGAUUCAUGUACUUAGAACAAAGAAAUUUCUUUAAUCAAGGUGCCACGGCGUAAUCAUAGAGUGGAAGAGUCAACUUGAGAAAAGGAAGAUGAAAUGAAAAUCAAGUAUCCCGAACUUUCCACUAACCUAAUAUAAAUUUUAAGGACAAAAUUAUUUUAAGGAGAAUAGGUUGUCGAACCCGAACUUUCCUAGUUGUAGUGCAUAUAAUUUAUUUGCCUAAUAAUACGAAUGUUAUGUCUAGUACAUCUUCAUACAAGUCAAUUCAUUGUGUCUAAUAGUUAAUAUGCAUCUAUAUGAUUUUUCUUAAUAGUUGAGGGAUCAAAGUGAAUAUAAAUAAAUUGUAAAUGAAAUAGUAUACAUGUUCCUUCCCUUCAUGAUUUUUCGAUCAAUACAGUUUUCGGAAAAGUAAAAUAGCUAUAAACAUGAUUAAUAGUAUUAAUUAUCACAAAUCAAUUAAGGUGAUAGUUAUUCAAUUGGACUAGGAUGUUGAUAUUAAUUAUCACAAAUAUAAUUAAGGUUAUUCAUAUGACUAGGAUAUUGAUAUUAAUUAUCACAAAUUCAAUUAAAGUUAUUUAAUUUGGAUGUUUUGAAAGUUGAUGUAUAAAUAUAUUAUAUUUAUCUUAAAGUGACUAGGCUUAUCACCACAGAGUCAUUUAAUAGAAUUAGAAUUGAAUUUUGUGUUUUGGUUAGAAUUUAAUUAUUAACUAGUUUAGAAAAAACCAUUCAUGUUUCGAAACGCUUUGUGAGUACUGUUUCUAUUUUAUAUUUAAUGCAAUUGAACUAAUUAAUUAGUCAUCAUCUAUAUAAUCUAGAAUAAUAACUAAUUGGUUAUGAUACAAUCCUAAUCGUAAUCAAACUACCCUAAGUUUACCUAUAAAUACCAACCCAUGCACAUAUGUUUGCCACAAAACCCAUUCUUUGAGUUUUGUUUCAUUCUUUAAAAUUUUAGUAGAAUUCUCUAUUAAAAAGUUUAGAAGAUUUUCAAAAAAAGUUUCAAUUUAUCCUUCAUUGUGGUCAAUUCAAGUAUUAUGACUUAAUAAUUUGAGAUGAAGUGCUCAAUGCUAUUAUUCGUUUUUCCACAUCUUUUCAAAUACAUUGUUACAUAUGAAUUUAAUUAUUUCAAUUCAGGGAUCCAUUUGGAGAAAUCAUGAUAUAUUUUAAGUGUACCUAAGGAAUGAGUCAGCCUUUACGUUAUUUUACAGCGCUUACUAGAACUAUCACACAUCUUUUCAAAUAUAUUAUUAUAUAUGAAUUUAAUUACUUCAGUUCAAGGCUCCAUUUGGAGAAAUCAUGAUACAUUUUAAGAUAUACCUAAGGUAUCAGUUAGCCUUCACGUUAUUUUGCAGGGCCUACUAAAAUUAUCAUUUUUCACGUUGUGAUAAUUCUCAUUUUAUUUUUGUAAGAGAGUUUAUGCAUGAUAUAUUGUUUGAUCUGAAUGUGAAGUAGGAAGCAUCUAUUGAGUAUAAUACAUUGCACUCAUCCCUCUUUAUUUACAAAUUUCAGGUAAAAAUUAACAUGCUGGGCGACAGUGGAUGGAUGGGUGUACUAGUGGACCAACUAAUUCUCAUUAUGAAGAACAUUAUUUGUUGGAUUUAAUUAUUUUUGGAGUCACAUUAUAAUUUGUAAUUAGUCC
Molecule: long non-coding RNA, 8951 nt
Filed under: Olea europaea (common olive)
Lineage: Eukaryota; Viridiplantae; Streptophyta; Magnoliopsida; Lamiales; Oleaceae
Description: long non-coding RNA (OEUR_LNC003589)
Source: RNAcentral